Lutra lutra (Eurasian river otter) is the source of this 2378-nucleotide long non-coding RNA. RefSeq lists it as uncharacterized. The transcript has 3 exons. The record is from RefSeq and is a predicted model, not a curated record. NCBI's taxonomy places the organism in Eukaryota, Metazoa, Chordata, Mammalia, Carnivora, Mustelidae.
CCUUCACAUAUAUACUAAAUAUUUACACUAUUUACAAAUAUAUUUACAAAUAUUUACACUAUUAAAGAUGUGUAAUAUGUGAAAUAUUAAACACAUAAAUAUAUUGGAUAUAUAAAAAAUGAGCAUUCUAGGAAAAUGCAUUCAUACUGUGUGAAAACUGGUUUACAAUACCAUAAUAAUGAGCUAAAGAAAAACAACUUUUAAGUUCUCUCUUUUUUAAUUUCUAACAAACUUGCCUCAAUCUACUCUUCCAACAAAUUGUCUUCGCAGAGACUAAAUAGUUCAAUCCAGUAUAACUUCUUCAUUAGAAUUGCCUUUUUACUUACCAUUCUCCAGAAACUCCUCCAGUCAGCAGCUUCUUUGCCAUUCCGCAAAGCAACCUCCUAAAACUGUAACAUGAACCAAUGUGCAAAGAUUUUAUACUUGCAGCCGGAUGAUUUUGCAUUUGCCAGGCUAAGCAUCUUGAGGAGGCAACGCAGUGUGGGACACAGAACAUGCCCUUCGGAGCCACACAACCUGUGCAGGGAUCCUGCACCCGCCAUUGCCUGGUUGUGUGACCUUGAACAAGUCACCUCCACUUGCUGUUCUUUAUUUCCCCUAUCAGUUCUUUCAGCUACUGUUGUGUAACAAACGAUCCUCCAACUUCGCAGCCUGAAACAGCAAACAUCUCACCCAGUUUCCUGGGGUAGGAAUAUGGGAGGGGCUUAGCUGGAUGGUUCUGGCUCAGGGUCUUUCUUGAGGGAGCAGUGAAGACAUGGGCCAGGACUGCAGUCCCAGAGGCUUGACAGGGGCUGAAGGAUCCAGUUCCCUCACUGACGUGGCUGUUGGCAGAAGGUCUCAGUAACUCACUACGUGGGCUUUUUCAUAAGGCUGCUCUCGCAUGUCUGCAUGACAUGGCAACUGGCAUCCCCCGCCCCAUGACUGAGAGACCCCGGGGGUAGCAAGGAGAAAGUGCAGUGCCUUCUUUGAUGCUGUCACUUCUGCUGCAUUCUGUUCAUUAGAAGUAAGUCACUGAGUCAGUGGGAGGGGAAUUAGAGUCCACCUUUUGGAGGGAGGAAUGUCAAAGGAUUUAUGGUUUAAGAUCACCACAUCGAAAAAAAUAAAGAUUUUUUUAUUAAAGAAUCAAAAGCAAACCCCUAGAACAUUGCUGGUUUCAAGGUAUCUAUGCAUGUACUUAGUCUUUAUUGGAUACCUAUGAUCGUACUGUAGGCUAAGCAUAAGAUCAUGGUCCCUGCCCUUACGAAACUCAAAGUUUAAGGGGAAGAUAGACAUUAAUCAAAGAAUACACAAAUAUAAAAUCGCUGUGCUCAGUACAAUGUAGAGGGACUGGAGCUACUCAGGAAAGGCUUCUUUGAGGAAAAGGUGUCAAUGCUGAGAUCUCAAGGAUGAGUAGGGGUAACCUAGGUGUAGAAGACAGAGAAGUGUGUUCUAGCUGAAAGGGACGAUAGAGGUAGACCUUGUGGGUGGGAGCACGGAGAGCACAAGGAACCUGUCAGGCUGGUGUGGCCAAGGCAGAGGCAGCUCCAUGUGGAGGGCGGGAGUGGUAGCCAGAGGCCAACCUCCGCUCUGCUUAUCUGUGCCUGUCAUGAGUUCGCUGGUAGCCAGGGAAGAGAGCUGACUACAAAGGGCUGUGAAAGAACUUUUUGGGAUGAUGGACUGUUCUGUAUCUUGAUCAUGGGGUGGUUCUAAGACUCUAAGUGUCUGUUCGAACUCAGAACUGUAGACUAAAGAAAGGUUAAGUUUUACUCUAUGUAAAUCACAUCUCAAUAUAUCUGAGUUAAAAAAGGUAUGCUUUCAUGCAGGCACUUUAAUGGAGGCCAAAACAUUGACUUUUUCUGUAAUAUGCGUUUGGAUUUCUUCCAAACAUGUUUAGUGCCCGCAGUAUCAACAGAAGAGUGCCCAGCUGAAGUCUGACCUGUGUAGUGGUGCUGUAGCUAAACCAUGCAUGCUGUCAUUGAGCUCUACAAAUGUAUUCUGGAGGUCAGAAGUCCAAAACCAAAGAAUCAAUAGGGCUGUACUCCCUGUGAUGACUCCAGGGGAGAAUCUGUCCCCUGACCCUUCCAGCUUCCGGUGGCCCACAGCACUUCCAGUCUGCCUCCGUGGUCACAUUGUUGCCGCCUCUUCUGUCAAAUCAUCCUCUGCCUCAUUUGUAUAAGGACACUUUUAAGGAUUAUUUAAACUCCUGUGGAUAAUCCUGGAUAAGCACCCUCUUGAAAAAUCCUUAACAUCAUCCCAUUGUUUGCUAUAUCAGAUCAGAAAGCCAAUGAAGAUAUUUUACAUAAGUUUCCACAGGGGAAACGAGUCACUGAGAAAUCAAAUGCCAGUCCCUUCAAGGUCUCCUAGUGGAAAAGCAACAGAACCCAAAGUCACUGUGGAAG